Molecule: ribosomal RNA, 326 nt
Filed under: uncultured bacterium
Lineage: Bacteria
Description: bacterial SSU rRNA
Rfam family: Bacterial small subunit ribosomal RNA
Source: RNAcentral
AUUGAACGCUGGCGGCAGGCCUAACACAUGCAAGUCGAGCGGCAGCACGGGAAAGUUUACUUUCUGGGUGGCGAGCGGCGGACGGGUGAGUAAUGGCUGGGAACCUGCCCUAACGAGGGGGAUAACAGUUGGAAACGACUGCUAAUACCGCAUAAUGUCAUUUAGGUGACCAAAGAGGAGGACCUUCGGGCUUCUCGCGUUGGGAUGGGCCCAGUUGGGAUUAGCUAGUUGGUGGGGUAAAGGCUCACCAAGGCGACGAUCCCUAGCUGGUUUGAGAGGAUGAUCAGCCACACUGGAACUGAGACAGGAUCAAACCCUUCUUGACG